Molecule: transfer RNA, 78 nt
Filed under: Pseudomonadales bacterium
Lineage: Bacteria; Pseudomonadati; Pseudomonadota; Gammaproteobacteria; Pseudomonadales
Description: tRNA-Thr
Rfam family: tRNA
About the family: Transfer RNA (tRNA) molecules are approximately 80 nucleotides in length.
Source: RNAcentral
GCCCUCAUAGCUCAAUUUGGGUAGAGCAACUGAUUUGUAAUCAGUAGGUUCGCGGUUCGAGUCCGUGUGAGGGCACCA